CCCAUUAUCAUAAAUUAGUGAGUGUUUUAGUUGAAAAGAAAAUAUAUUUAUAUAAGAGAAAAUGGGCUAAAGCCCAUAUUAAUUAGAAAGAGGAAAGGAAUGGGCAAUGCCCAUAUACCUGGCCCAAACCAAAUAAGAAAGGGAUUAAAAGAAUUGGGGAUUUGAGGGGAAUAGGUGGGUUUAUAAGGCCUCCCCUUCAUGCUGCAACUAGGCAGCAACAACAACAACGUGCAAAACGCACCUGUAGCAGCAAACAACAACAGCAAAAAAAAAAAAAAAAAAAACUCGUCCUUUUGGCUAAAGAAGAAGAAAAAAAAAAGAAAAUUCUUUGAGAAAUUCUAUUGGUUUCAAGAGAAUGCAGGUGACGGCGAGAAUUACGUUAGCUAGAGAGUUCGAGGUAGCAUUUUCCUAGUGAGCCCCGCAUUUGUUCGCUUGGGCAGGAGUUUAUUUAUUUGUUAUGUUCUAUUUCUUGCAAACUCUUAGAGUCGCUCCAUAGUCAUGUCUUUAGAGCUUUGAGUAUUCUUUCAUUAUUUUGGAUUUGUGGAGUAUUUGAACUCCCUCUCAUGUUUUGGAUAUGGAUUUUAUGUUGUUAUUGGGUGGUGUUGGUGACUUGUUGAUGGUUUGUGAUGGAUUGUGUUAGUGU
Long non-coding RNA from Capsicum annuum, 643 nucleotides. RefSeq lists it as uncharacterized. The transcript is spliced from 2 exons. Lineage: Eukaryota; Viridiplantae; Streptophyta; Magnoliopsida; Solanales; Solanaceae. The record is from RefSeq and is a predicted model, not a curated record.